GAUGAACGCUGGCGGCGUGCCUAAUACAUGCAAGUCGAGCGAACGGACGAGAAGCUUGCUUCUCUGAUGUUAGCGGCGGACGGGUGAGUAACACGUGGAUAACCUACCUAUAAGACUGGGAUAACUUCGGGAAACCGUAGCUAAUACCGGAUAAUAUUUUGAACCGCAUGGUUCAAAAGUGAAAGACGGUCUUGCUGUCACUUAUAGAUGGAUCCGCGCUGCAUUAGCUAGUUGGUAAAGUAACGGCUUACCAAGGCAACGAUGCAUAGCCGACCUGAGAGGGUGAUCGGCCACACUGGAACUGAGACACGGUCCAGACUCCUACGGGAGGCAGCAGUAGGGAAUCUUCCGCAAUGGGCGAAAGCCUGACGGAGCAACGCCGCGUGAGUGAUGAAGGUCUUCGGAUCGUAAAACUCUGUUAUUAGGGAAGAACAUAUGUGUAAGUAACUGUGCACAUCUUGACGGUACCUAAUCAGAAAGCCACGGCUAACUACGUGCCAGCAGCCGCGGUAAUACGUAGGUGGCAAGCGUUAUCCGGAAUUAUUGGGCGUAAAGCGCGCGUAGGCGGUUUUUUAAGUCUGAUGUGAAAGCCCACGGCUCAACCGUGGAGGGUCAUUGGAAACUGGAAAACUUGAGUGCAGAAGAGGAAAGUGGAACUCCAUGUGUAGCGGUGAAAUGCGCAGAGAUAUGGAGGAACACCAGUGGCGAAGGCGACUUUCUGGUCUGUAACUGACGCUGAUGUGCGAAAGCGUGGGGAUCAAACAGGAUUAGAUACCCUGGUAGUCCACGCCGUAAACGAUGAGUGCUAAGUGUUAGGGGGUUUCCGCCCCUUAGUGCUGCAGCUAACGCAUUAAGCACUCCGCCUGGGGAGUACGACCGCAAGGUUGAAACUCAAAGGAAUUGACGGGGACCCGCACAAGCGGUGGAGCAUGUGGUUUAAUUCGAAGCAACGCGAAGAACCUUACCAAAUCUUGACAUCUUUUGACAACUCUAGAGAUAGAGCCUUCCCCUUCGGGGGACAAAGUGACAGGUGGUGCAUGGUUGUCGUCAGCUCGUGUCGUGAGAUGUUGGGUUAAGUCCCGCAACGAGCGCAACCCUUAAGCUUAGUUGCCAUCAUUAAGUUGGGCACUCUAAGUUGACUGCCGGUGACAAACCGGAGGAAGGUGGGGAUGACGUCAAAUCAUCAUGCCCCUUAUGAUUUGGGCUACACACGUGCUACAAUGGACAAUACAAAGGGCAGCGAAACCGCGAGGUCAAGCAAAUCCCAUAAAGUUGUUCUCAGUUCGGAUUGUAGUCUGCAACUCGACUACAUGAAGCUGGAAUCGCUAGUAAUCGUAGAUCAGCAUGCUACGGUGAAUACGUUCCCGGGUCU
This 1372-nucleotide ribosomal RNA is filed under the name uncultured bacterium. RNAcentral's name for it is "bacterial SSU rRNA". It matches the Rfam family "Bacterial small subunit ribosomal RNA", at positions 28 to 1381 of the family's 1533-position model. The record is from RNAcentral.